This 802-nucleotide ribosomal RNA is filed under the name uncultured bacterium. RNAcentral's name for it is "bacterial SSU rRNA". It matches the Rfam family "Bacterial small subunit ribosomal RNA", at positions 75 to 848 of the family's 1533-position model. The record is from RNAcentral.
AGAGCUUGCUCUUUGUAACCGAGUGGCGAACGGGUGAGUAACACGUGACUAACCUGCCUUCGAGAGGGGGAUAACCUGGGGAAACCCGGACUAAUACCGCAUAUAGUCCAAGAGUCUUAUGUCUCAUGGAUAAAAGAGAGCCUCUGCUUGCAUGCUCUCACUCGAAGAGGGGGUCGCGGCGUAUCAGCUAGUUGGUGGGGUAAUGGCCUACCAAGGCGACGACGCGUAGCGGGUCUGAGAGGACGAUCCGUCACAUUGGGACUGAGAUACGGCCCAGACUCCUACGGGAGGCAGCAGUGGGGAAUAUUGCGCAAUGGCCGAAAGGCUGACGCAGCGACGCCGCGUGUGGGAGGAAGCCUUUCGGGGUGUAAACCACUGUCUGGGGGGAAGAACUUCGUGGGUGUUAAUAACACCUACGGUUGACGGUACCCCUAGAGGAAGCGCCGGCUAACUCCGUGCCAGCAGCCGCGGUAAGACGGAGGGCGCAAGCGUUGUUCGGAAUUACUGGGCGUAAAGGGCGGGCAGGCGGUCUGUUAAGUCUUUUGUGAAAAUCCGGAGCUCAACUCCGUGAAAUGCAGAAGAUACUGGGCAGGCUGGAGACCGGUAGAGGCUAGCGGAAUUCCUGGUGUAGCGGUGGAAUGCGUAGAUAUCAGGAAGAACACCUGUGGCGAAGGCGGCUAGCUGGGCCGGGUCUGACGCUGAUCCGCGAAAGCGUGGGUAGCAAACAGGAUUAGAUACCCUGGUAGUCCACGCCGUAAACGAUGGGCACUAGAUGCCGGGUAUAUAGACGUAUUCGGUGUCG